RNAcentral lists this ribosomal RNA (497 nucleotides) under uncultured bacterium. RNAcentral describes it as "partial 16S ribosomal RNA". It matches the Rfam family "Bacterial small subunit ribosomal RNA", at positions 28 to 507 of the family's 1533-position model. The record is from RNAcentral.
GAUGAACGCUGGCGGCGUGCCUAAUACAUGCAAGUCGAGCGAACAGACGAGGAGCUUGCUCCUCUGACGUUAGCGGCGGACGGGUGAGUAACACGUGGAUAACCUACCUAUAAGACUGGGAUAACUUCGGGAAACCGGAGCUAAUACCGGAUAAUAUAUUGAACCGCAUGGUUCAAUAGUGAAAGACGGUUUUGCUGUCACUUAUAGAUGGAUCCGCGCCGCAUUAGCUAGUUGGUAAGGUAACGGCUUACCAAGGCAACGAUGCGUAGCCGACCUGAGAGGGUGAUCGGCCACACUGGAACCGAGACACGGUCCAGACUCCUACGGGAGGCAGCAGUAGGGAAUCUUCCGCAAUGGGCGAAAGCCUGACGGAGCAACGCCGCGUGAGUGAUGAAGGUCUUAGAAUCGUAAAACUCUGUUAUUAGGGAAGAACAAAUGUGUAAGUAACUAUGCACGUCUUGACGGUACCUAAUCAGAAAGCCACGGCUAACUACGUG